Molecule: long non-coding RNA, 610 nt
Organism: Oncorhynchus tshawytscha (Chinook salmon)
Lineage: Eukaryota; Metazoa; Chordata; Actinopteri; Salmoniformes; Salmonidae
Source: Ensembl
GCAGACGCUGAGAGAGAACUGGAAAUAAGGCAAAAGCUGAGAGAGAACUGGAAAUAAGGAAGAAGCUGAGAGAGAACUGGACAUACAGCAGACGCUGAGAGAGAACGGAAAAAAGGUAGAGGCUGAGAGAGAACUGGAAAAAGGCAGAGGCUGAGAGAGAACUGGAUAAAGGCAGAGGCUGAGAGAGAACUGAAAAAAGGCAGAGGCUGAGAGAGAACUGAAAAAAGGCAGAGGCUGAGAGAGAACUGGAAAUAAGGAAGAAGCUGAGAGAGAACUGGACAUACAGCAGACGCUGAGAGAAAACUGGAAAUAAGGAAGAAGCUGAGAGAGAACUGGAAAAAGGCAGAGGCUGAGAGAGAACUGAAAAAAGGUAGAGGCUGAGAGAGAACUGGAAAAAGGCAGAGGCUGAGAGAGAACUGGAAAAAGGCAGAGGCUGAGAGAGAACUGAAAAAAGACAGAGGCUGAGAGAGAACUGAAAAAAGGCAGAGGCUGAGAGAGAACUGAAAAAAGGCAGAGGCUGAUUGAGAACUGAAAAAAGGCAGAGGCUGAGAAAACUGAAAAAAGGCAGAGGCUGAGAGAGAACUGAAAAAAAGGCAGAGGCUGAGAGAGA